Molecule: long non-coding RNA, 259 nt
Filed under: Lathyrus oleraceus (garden pea)
Lineage: Eukaryota; Viridiplantae; Streptophyta; Magnoliopsida; Fabales; Fabaceae
Description: Pisum sativum (pea) long non-coding RNA (PSAT_LNC004367)
Source: RNAcentral
GAGUUUUUAUAGGUUACGCCUAUGAACCUUCAAUACAAUUGAAUAUAAAGAUUUGAUAAUGGUUAUCCCCAAUAAAAAAGAAAGUUUUUAUCAAAGAUGAGUUAACGAAUCAAUUAGAGAUUUUUCUGGAUAAUCUUAAUAUAACCAAAUAAAACUUUUUCCUGCCUAAAUUCUAAAACCAAACAAAGAUUUUAAGACUGGUUAAUUUAAGAAUCAAAUUCGAUUUCCUAAGAGUAUAGCACUCUUAAGUAUACUAACA